Molecule: ribosomal RNA, 156 nt
Filed under: uncultured fungus
Lineage: Eukaryota; Fungi
Description: 5.8S ribosomal RNA
Rfam family: 5.8S ribosomal RNA
About the family: 5.8S ribosomal RNA (5.8S rRNA) is a component of the large subunit of the eukaryotic ribosome. It is transcribed by RNA polymerase I as part of the 45S precursor that also contains 18S and 28S rRNA.
Source: RNAcentral
AACUUUCAACAACGGAUCUCUUGGCUCUGGCAUCGAUGAAGAACGCAGCGAAAUGCGAUAAGUAAUGCGAAUUGCAGAAUUCAGUGGGUCAUCGAAUCUUUGAACGCACAUUGCGCCCUUUGGUAUUCCGAAGGGCAUGCCUGUUCGAGCGUCAUU